GAGCGGCGAACGGGUGAGUAACACGUGAGUAACCUGCCCCUGACUCUGGGAUAAGCCUGGGAAACUGGGUCUAAUACCGGAUAUGACACUNUNUCNGCAUGGAANGGGUGUGGAAAGUUUUUUCGGUUGGGGAUGGGCUCGCGGCCUAUCAGCUUGUUGGUGGGGUAGUGGCCUACCAAGGCGACGACGGGUAGCCGGCCUGAGAGGGCGACCGGCCACACUGGGACUGAGACACGGCCCAGACUCCUACGGGAGGCAGCAGUGGGGAAUAUUGCGCAAUGGGCGGAAGCCUGACGCAGCGACGCCGCGUGGGGGAUGACGGCCUUCGGGUUGUAAACCUCUUUCAGCAGGGACGAAGUUGACGUGUACCUGUAGAAGAAGCGCCGGCUAACUACGUGCCAGCAGCCGCGGUAAUACGUAGGGCGCAAGCGUUGUCCGGAAUUAUUGGGCGUAAAGAGCUCGUAGGUGGCUUGUUGCGUCUGCCGUGAAAGCCCGUGGCUUAACUGCGGGUCUGCGGUGGAUACGGGCAGGCUAGAGGCUGGUAGGGGCAAGCGGAAUUCCU
RNAcentral lists this ribosomal RNA (562 nucleotides) under Planotetraspora sp. 331E02. Its description in RNAcentral is "bacterial SSU rRNA". It matches the Rfam family "Bacterial small subunit ribosomal RNA", at positions 93 to 671 of the family's 1533-position model. Lineage: Bacteria; Bacillati; Actinomycetota; Actinomycetes; Streptosporangiales; Streptosporangiaceae. The record is from RNAcentral.